RNAcentral lists this ribosomal RNA (429 nucleotides) under Actinomycetes bacterium. Its description in RNAcentral is "Actinobacteria bacterium partial 16S ribosomal RNA". It matches the Rfam family "Bacterial small subunit ribosomal RNA", at positions 355 to 776 of the family's 1533-position model. The record is from RNAcentral. Lineage: Bacteria; Bacillati; Actinomycetota; Actinomycetes.
UAGGGAAUCUUCCGCAAUGGGCGAAAGCCUGACGGAGCAACGCCGCGUGAGUGAUGAAGGUCUUCGGAUCGUAAAACUCUGUUAUUAGGGAAGAACAAAUGUGUAAGUAACUAUGCACGUCUUGACGGUACCUAAUCAGAAAGCCACGGCUAACUACGUGCCAGCAGCCGCGGUAAUACGUAGGUGGCAAGCGUUAUCCGGAAUUAUUGGGCGUAAAGCGCGCGUAGGCGGUUUUUUAAGUCUGAUGUGAAAGCCCACGGCUCAACCGUGGAGGGUCAUUGGAAACUGGAAAACUUGAGUGCAGAAGAGGAAAGUGGGAUUCCAUGUGUAGCGGUGAAAUGCGCAGAGAUAUGGAGGAACACCAGUGGCGAAGGCGACUUUCUGGUCUGUAACUGACGCUGAUGUGCGAAAGCGUGGGGAUCAAACAGG